GUGCUUGUGGUGUAGUGGUCAUCACAUUCGCCUUACACGCGAAAGGUCCCAGGUUCAAUCCCUGGCAGGCACA
This 73-nucleotide transfer RNA is filed under the name Limulus polyphemus (Atlantic horseshoe crab). Its description in RNAcentral is "tRNA-Val". It matches the Rfam family "tRNA". From Rfam's summary of the family: Transfer RNA (tRNA) molecules are approximately 80 nucleotides in length. The record is from RNAcentral. Lineage: Eukaryota; Metazoa; Arthropoda; Merostomata; Xiphosura; Limulidae.